UAAAACAUAGAAUUAAUGUACCAGAUCCCAUUAGAAAUACACAAUUAAGCAUGCUCAGGAUAGAGUAGUACUGGGAUGGAUGACCACCCAAGAAGUCUUAGUGUUUUAC
Picea glauca (white spruce) is the source of this 109-nucleotide non-coding RNA. Lineage: Eukaryota; Viridiplantae; Streptophyta; Pinopsida; Pinales; Pinaceae. The record is from Rfam.